Molecule: ribosomal RNA, 465 nt
Filed under: Vreelandella stevensii
Lineage: Bacteria; Pseudomonadati; Pseudomonadota; Gammaproteobacteria; Oceanospirillales; Halomonadaceae
Description: partial 16S ribosomal RNA
Rfam family: Bacterial small subunit ribosomal RNA
Source: RNAcentral
CCUACGGGUGGCUGCAGUGGGGAAUAUUGGACAAUGGGGGGAACCCUGAUCCAGCCAUGCCGCGUGUGUGAAGAAGGCCCUCGGGUUGUAAAGCACUUUCAGUGAGGAAGAACGCCUGGUGGUUAAUACCCAUCAGGAAAGACAUCACUCACAGAAGAAGCACCGGCUAACUCCGUGCCAGCAGCCGCGGUAAUACGGAGGGUGCGAGCGUUAAUCGGAAUUACUGGGCGUAAAGCGCGCGUAGGUGGCUUGAUAAGCCGGUUGUGAAAGCCCCGGGCUCAACCUGGGAACGGCAUCCGGAACUGUCAAGCUAGAGUGCAGGAGAGGAAGGUAGAAUUCCCGGUGUAGCGGUGAAAUGCGUAGAGAUCGGGAGGAACACCAGUGGCGAAGGCGGCCUUCUGGACUGACACUGACACUGAGGUGCGAAAGCGUGGGUAGCAAACAGGAUUAGAUACCCUUGUAGUC